RNAcentral lists this ribosomal RNA (774 nucleotides) under uncultured Neocallimastigales. RNAcentral describes it as "partial large subunit ribosomal RNA". It matches the Rfam family "Eukaryotic large subunit ribosomal RNA", at positions 24 to 647 of the family's 3401-position model. Lineage: Eukaryota; Fungi; Neocallimastigomycota; Neocallimastigomycetes; Neocallimastigales. The record is from RNAcentral.
UAUGUGAUCGUCUCUCGCAUAUCAAUAAGCGGAGGAAAAGAAACUAACAAGGAUUCCCCUAGUAACGGCGAGUGAAGCGGGAAGAGCUCAAAUUUGAAAUCUUAAAGGGUUUCCCUUUACGAAUUGUAGUUUAAAGAAGUGUUUUCUGUUGAGGUUUUGGUAAAAGUUCUUUGGAAUAGGACAUCAUGGAGGGUGAGAAUCCCGUAUUUGACCUUUACUUUCAACUUUGUGAUACACUUUCAAAGAGUCGGAUUGUUUGGGAAUGCAGUCCAAAAUGGGUGGUAAAUUUCAUCUAAAGCUAAAUAUUGGCGAGAGACCGAUAGCGAACAAGUACCGUGAGGGAAAGAUGAAAAGAACUUUGAAAAGAGAGUUAAACAGUACGUGAAAUUGUCAAAAGGGAAGCGUUUGACACCAGUGUUGUUUUUCUGAAUAUCAAUUAAAGAACUGUUUAUGCUAAGCUGUUUAGACUUUAUCAGCUAUCUGUUUAGUUUUGAGCUUUUCUUUAAUGCACUUUUCAGUUAACAAGUCAACAUCAAUUUCUUUUUCUGUAAAAAAGCUUGAGGAAGGUGGCUUGAGAUUCGUCUUAAGUGUUUAUAGCCUCUUGCCUAUGCAGUCGGAGAGAUUGUGGUCUGCAGCGUAGAUCCUUCGGGGCUAAAUGCAUUUGUGCUAAGUUAUAGCAUUUUAUAGACGACUUGUUGACUAUGAUUUGUCUUGUAGCUUACUCGCUUAUGUUAUUUUACCUACGCUUAGGAUGUUGACGAGACUGUCGAUCUC